RNAcentral lists this ribosomal RNA (301 nucleotides) under uncultured bacterium. RNAcentral's name for it is "partial 16S ribosomal RNA". It matches the Rfam family "Bacterial small subunit ribosomal RNA", at positions 509 to 808 of the family's 1533-position model. The record is from RNAcentral.
CAGCAGCCGCGGUAACACGUAGGUCCCGAGCGUUGUCCGGAUUUAUUGGGCGUAAAGGGAGCGCAGGCGGUUUAGUAAGUCUGAAGUUAAAGGCAUUGGCUCAACCAAUGUAUGCUUUGGAAACUGUUAGACUUGAGUGCAGAAGGGGAGAGUGGAAUUCCAUGUGUAGCGGUGAAAUGCGUAGAUAUAUGGAGGAACACCGGUGGCGAAAGCGGCUCUCUGGCCUGUCACUGACGCUGAGGCUCGAAAGCGUGGGUAGCGAACAGGAUUAGAUACCCCGGUAGUCCCUGUCUCUUAUACA